RNAcentral lists this long non-coding RNA (648 nucleotides) under Fukomys damarensis (Damara mole-rat). RNAcentral's name for it is "lncRNA (ENSFDAG00000024873.1)". Lineage: Eukaryota; Metazoa; Chordata; Mammalia; Rodentia; Bathyergidae. The record is from RNAcentral.
AUAACCCAUUCUUAUGAAUACUAUUUCCUUAGUUGUCUGGGCCUGUUUAGUCUUUUUUUUUUUUUUUUCUGGUACCAGGGAUUGAACUCGGGUCCUUGGCUUGCAAGGAAGGCCACCAAACUGCUGAGCUAAAUCCCCGACCUAGUCUGUUUUGACAAUACCAUCAACUGGGUAUCUUAUGAACAGUCAAAAUGUAUUUCUUACACAUACUGAGGUUGAAUUCCAAGGUCAGAGUGUUGGCAGAUUUAGUAUCUGGUGAGGGCCCACUUCCUGGGUGACAGAUGGAGCCUUCUACUUGUGACCUCACAUAGUAGAAGGGGAAAGGCAGCCCUCUGGGCUCUCUUAGAGGGCACUGUCCCAGUCAUGAAAGCUCUGCUUUCAUGAUCUAAUCCCCAUUCAGAGGCCCGGCCUCCUGAUACCAUCACCCUGAUGCUGAAGAUUUCAGUCUACAAAUUCUGCAGGAACAAGAACGUCCAGCCCUCUGUUCCUCUUUGGAUCUAAGGUUUUGCCAACUAUCAGCAGAAGGAGCAGAUCUGCUACAGACUGGUGGGUUAGCCAGUGUUUGGGAGGAGUCACAUCACUGAGGACGGCCUUAGAAGCCUUCUGUCAGCAUUGUAACUGUUGAAUUUUCAAGACUAUGUGGAGGCG